UCCCGAAUAGUUCAGUUGGUAAAGACUCUGCCUGCAAUGCAGGAAACUCGGGUUUGAUUCCUGGGUCAGGAA
RNAcentral lists this transfer RNA (72 nucleotides) under Ovis aries (sheep). It matches the Rfam family "tRNA". From Rfam's summary of the family: Transfer RNA (tRNA) molecules are approximately 80 nucleotides in length. Their secondary structure includes four short double-helical elements and three loops (D, anti-codon, and T loops). Further hydrogen bonds mediate the characteristic L-shaped molecular structure. tRNAs have two regions of fundamental functional importance: the anti-codon, which is responsible for specific mRNA codon recognition, and the 3' end, to which the tRNAs corresponding amino acid is attached (by aminoacyl-tRNA synthetases). tRNAs cope with the degeneracy of the genetic code in two manners: having more than one tRNA (with a specific anti-codon) for a particular amino acid; and 'wobble' base-pairing, i.e. permitting non-standard base-pairing at the 3rd anti-codon position. The record is from Rfam by way of RNAcentral. Lineage: Eukaryota; Metazoa; Chordata; Mammalia; Artiodactyla; Bovidae.